GGCCUACGCAAUCGCACGGAAACCUGAUCUGGAACUCGCAUGAGCUGGGAUUAACAAAAAAAAUAAUAAUAUUUCAGCUUCUUCCCAGCACCUUGGCCCCUUUCGCUGAUCUUAUCUCCCAAUUACUGCCCUGCAAACAUUCCUGCACUCCAAACAGACUGCGAACGUGGAACGCUGGAGUCCAUGAUCACCUGUUCUCUUCUAGACACGCAUCUACUUCCUGUUCUACACCAACACACCCUGACAUUGCAGCAUUGACAGUUUUGGGCAAGACUACCGGUUUGCUUUGACCAGACAGACACUAAAAUUCCCCUGCACAAACAGGGAACGGUUUGCCCUGCUCUUCCUUGGAGGGAUG
Molecule: long non-coding RNA, 358 nt
Filed under: Sinocyclocheilus anshuiensis
Lineage: Eukaryota; Metazoa; Chordata; Actinopteri; Cypriniformes; Cyprinidae
Description: lncRNA (ENSSANG00000011576.1)
Source: RNAcentral